AACGAACGCUGGCGGCGUGCCUAACACAUGCAAGUCGAACGAGAAAGGGGCUUCGGCCCUGAGUAAAGUGGCGCACGGGUGAGUAACACGUGGGCAACCUGCCUCUAAGAUCGGGAUAACCCGUCGAAAGAUGGGCUAAUACCGGAUAAGACCACGGCGCCUCCGGGCGCAGAGGUCAAAGGUAGCCUCUGCAUGCAAGCUAUCACUUAGAGAUGGGCCUGCGCACCAUUAGCUAGUUGGUAGGGUAACGGCCUACCAAGGCAAAGAUGGUUAGCUGGUCUGAGAGGAUGAUCAGCCACACUGGAACUGAGACACGGUCCAGACUCCUACGGGAGGCAGCAGUGGGGAAUAUUGCGCAAUGGGCGAAAGCCUGACGCAGCAACGCCGCGUGAGUGAUGAAGGCCUUCGGGUCGUAAAGCUCUGUCGGAGGGAACGAAUGCCCCCAAGGCUAACAGCCUUGGGAAGUGACGGUACCCUCAAAGGAAGCACCGGCUAA
RNAcentral lists this ribosomal RNA (496 nucleotides) under uncultured bacterium. Its description in RNAcentral is "bacterial SSU rRNA". It matches the Rfam family "Bacterial small subunit ribosomal RNA", at positions 29 to 500 of the family's 1533-position model. The record is from RNAcentral.